This is a long non-coding RNA of Pan troglodytes (chimpanzee), 2499 nucleotides long. RefSeq lists it as uncharacterized. NCBI's taxonomy places the organism in Eukaryota, Metazoa, Chordata, Mammalia, Primates, Hominidae. The transcript has 3 exons. The record is from RefSeq and is a predicted model, not a curated record.
GAGCCAACACUUGCACCACCUCCUCCUGGAAGCUUAGAACCUUUCUCCAAACUAGGAUUAUUCCCUCCUAAGACCUCUCACAUCUUUUAGCUUGUGCCUUUUUUGCAGGUGCUUUGAUUCCACUUGUACUUCAACCAUCUGUGAGCUACUUCUAUUCUCUUUAGGAGACUGGCAACUUCCUAAAGGCAGAGGGGAGGAAACAGUGGAAACUCAGAGAUGCAGACAUUUGCCUAAGGAUAUACAGAAGAUAAGGAGCAGAGCUGACAUCAGAACUCAAGCUUGCAAAUGUGUAUGCGGGCCACCAUGCCACAUCUGCCACCUCUCUCACAGCACUGCUGGGGGAACAGGAGAAGCAUUGGAGGUGGCAGGCUUUGCCUUACUACACAUGGCAUAUGCAUUUUAAAUAAGGACUUUGAUCUGGAAGCAGGAGAGCAUAUUUAUUGCCUCAACUCAGCUUGAUUUGGGCUCUUCUGUCCCACUAAUGACACCAACCCUCACCGGCCUGAAGACCUUGCCUGAAAGAGAAAGAACAGUGGCGUGAAGUCAGAAGAGGUGCGUUUACCUGCCAGCUUUGCCUCUGUCUGUGUUCUCUCCCUGAGCCUCAGGAAUCGCACUUCAGUAAUGGUUUUGCUAUGAGAAUUUGGAAGCAGCAUGUGUAAAACCCCUAGCUCAGAUUGGGUACUGGAUAGACAUCAGCAGUGAAGAUUCACUGAGUUUGCCCCAGGGCAGGCAGUGGAACGGGUACAUUAAUGCAUAUCCCAAAUCCUCACAGCCACCCAGAGGUAGAUCCUGUUACUGUCAUCACGGCUACCUGAUCAGAAAACUGAAGUUCCAAACACAAGAACUGCAUUGCGAGUGGAUUUUCAACCCAGAAAUGCACUUUGAAGAGACAUGCGUUCGUAAGAGGUGGCUCCUGAGAAUGUGACAGAAAUCGCUGUGCCACCUGGCUUUCUUCUUUGUGAGUCUAUAUCUAGGAGUGGACUAGACUGAUGCUCUGUGGUAUUAUUCUAACCAACAGCAGGCCAGGCAUGUUGGCUCAUGCCUGUAAUCCCAGCACUUUGGGAGGCUGAGGCGGGUGGAUCACGAGGUCAGGAGAUCAAGACCAUCCUGGCUAACACAGUGAAAUCCUGUCUCUACUAAAAAUACAAAAAAUUAGCUGGGCGUGGUGGCGGGUGCCUGUGGUCCCAGCUACUCGGGAGGCUGAGGCAGGAGAAUGGCAUGAACCCGGGAGGCGGAGCUUGCAGUGAGCGGAGAUUGCGCCACUGCACUCCAGCCUGGGCAACAGAGCGAGACUCCGUCUCAAAAAAAAAAAAAAAACAAAAAAAAAAAAACAAAAAAACCAAACCAACAGCAUUUACUGAAUACCACUGUAAGUUUGGCUCGAUGGAGCCAGGGACUGGGGAGUUGAGGAAAACCUGGUACUGCAGAAAAGAGCUCACAUCCCAGUUGGGGAGGCAGGAAGCUCUGGCCUGAAUAAACCAGGGAUUGAAGAGACAAGCACAGCCUGUGAGUAUCCCCAGGGAGUUAUUCCUCCAGACUGUGGGGAUCUGGGGAUACUUUCUGGAGGAGGUGGCGUGUUCAGAGUCCCCCAAACAUGAGUGAGCCUGCUACUGACAGAGAUAGGGAGAAAGGCAUCCCAGGUAGAGGGAACAACAAAGGAAUGGCUGUGCUAUGCAAUUUGUGAAACAGUCAUGGUGAGCAGCGGCUCUCAAACUCGAGUUAGCAUUGGAAUCGCCUGGUGGGUGCAUUAAAACACAGACUACUGCACCCCGCGCCAGCACCAGAGUUCCCAACUUGGGCAGUCUGGAGAGCAGCCUAUGAGUUUGCAUUCUAACAAGUCCCCAGGUGCUGUUGCUGCUGUUGGUCCACACGGGAAGAAGACAUUGUAGAGGAAGCAGAUAGGUUGGAUGGAGCCAAAGCAUGGAGGAAUGUGAGCACCCAUCUGGUGCAUCACUCACUGGCUAUAGCUAUCAAUGUGUUCAUUCAGUCCUUUACUGAGCAAGCAGCACCCCUGAGCCCUACUGUGUGCUAGUACAGUGAUGGACUCUAGGUAUACAGCGAUGAAUACAACAGUCUGGGUUUUGCCAUAUCUUUACCCUGCUGAGGCUCUCAGAGGAGGAUGGAUGACAUUCCACGUGACGACACAGGCUGAUGACCCUCUGGGCAUCCAGGGACAGAAGGCAGGGGCUCUGGAGGUGAAAGUUGCCUUCAUUCUCAUGGCCCUUUAACAAAAGACCUUGUCUUACCCAUGUUAAAUUCAGUUUGGUUUAAAUGUUUCUUCAUACAUAGUGAACUAUCACCUAACUGGAUGUGUAAACAGGCUAUAACCAACUCUAGUACCAAUCUCUGGGUUUCAGCCAAUCACAGCCAGCCAACUCUUCAAACCAUGUUCAAAGAAGGCAAACGCCAAGCUAGAACCCAUCCAGCUGUUUCUGGUCCUUACUUCUGUUUUCCAUAUGUCACUCUCUUUUUUCUGCCCAUAAAUCAUCCUCGACCACG